UUAAGCGACUAAGCGUACACGGUGGAUGCCCUGGCAGUCAGAGGCGAUGAAGGACGUGCUAAUCUGCGAUAAGCGUCGGUGAGGUGAUAUGAACCGUUAUAACCGGCGAUUUCCGAAUGGGGAAACCCAGUGUGAUUCGACACACUAUCAUUAACUGAAUCCAUAGGUUAAUGAGGCGAACCGGGGGAACUGAAACAUCUAAGUACCCCGAGGAAAAGAAAUCAACCGAGAUUCCCCCAGUAGCGGCGAGCGAACGGGGAGGAGCCCAGAGCCUGAAUCAGUGUGUGUGUUAGUGGAAGCGUCUGGAAAGGCGCGCGAUACAGGGUGACAGCCCCGUACACAAAAAUGCACAUACUGUGAGCUCGAUGAGUAGGGCGGGACACGUGGUAUCCUGUCUGAAUAUGGGGGGACCAUCCUCCAAGGCUAAAUACUCCUGACUGACCGAUAGUGAACCAGUACCGUGAGGGAAAGGCGAAAAGAACCCCGGCGAGGGGAGUGAAAAAGAACCUGAAACCGUGUACGUACAAGCAGUGGGAGCCUCUUAAUGGGGUGACUGCGUACCUUUUGUAUAAUGGGUCAGCGACUUAUAUUCUGUAGCAAGGUUAACCGAAUAGGGGAGCCGAAGGGAAACCGAGUCUUAACUGGGCGUUAAGUUGCAGGGUAUAGACCCGAAACCCGGUGAUCUAGCCAUGGGCAGGUUGAAGGUUGGGUAACACUAACUGGAGGACCGAACCGACUAAUGUUGAAAAAUUAGCGGAUGACUUGUGGCUGGGGGUGAAAGGCCAAUCAAACCGGGAGAUAGCUGGUUCUCCCCGAAAGCUAUUUAGGUAGCGCCUCGUGAAUUCAUCUCCGGGGGUAGAGCACUGUUUCGGCAAGGGGGUCAUCCCGACUUACCAACCCGAUGCAAACUGCGAAUACCGGAGAAUGUUAUCACGGGAGACACACGGCGGGUGCUAACGUCCGUCGUGAAGAGGGAAACAACCCAGACCGCCAGCUAAGGUCCCAAAGUCAUGGUUAAGUGGGAAACGAUGUGGGAAGGCCCAGACAGCCAGGAUGUUGGCUUAGAAGCAGCCAUCAUUUAAAGAAAGCGUAAUAGCUCACUGGUCGAGUCGGCCUGCGCGGAAGAUGUAACGGGGCUAAACCAUGCACCGAAGCUGCGGCAGCGACACUAUGUGUUGUUGGGUAGGGGAGCGUUCUGUAAGCCUGUGAAGGUGUACUGUGAGGUAUGCUGGAGGUAUCAGAAGUGCGAAUGCUGACAUAAGUAACGAUAAAGCGGGUGAAAAGCCCGCUCGCCGGAAGACCAAGGGUUCCUGUCCAACGUUAAUCGGGGCAGGGUGAGUCGACCCCUAAGGCGAGGCCGAAAGGCGUAGUCGAUGGGAAACAGGUUAAUAUUCCUGUACUUGGUGUUACUGCGAAGGGGGGACGGAGAAGGCUAUGUUGGCCGGGCGACGGUUGUCCCGGUUUAAGCGUGUAGGCUGGUUUUCCAGGCAAAUCCGGAAAAUCAAGGCUGAGGCGUGAUGACGAGGCACUACGGUGCUGAAGCGACAAAUGCCCUGCUUCCAGGAAAAGCCUCUAAGCAUCAGGUAACAUCAAAUCGUACCCCAAACCGACACAGGUGGUCAGGUAGAGAAUACCAAGGCGCUUGAGAGAACUCGGGUGAAGGAACUAGGCAAAAUGGUGCCGUAACUUCGGGAGAAGGCACGCUGAUAUGUAGGUGAAGCGACUUGCUCGUGGAGCUGAAAUCAGUCGAAGAUACCAGCUGGCUGCAACUGUUUAUUAAAAACACAGCACUGUGCAAACACGAAAGUGGACGUAUACGGUGUGACGCCUGCCCGGUGCCGGAAGGUUAAUUGAUGGGGUUAGCGGCAACGCGAAGCUCUUGAUCGAAGCCCCGGUAAACGGCGGCCGUAACUAUAACGGUCCUAAGGUAGCGAAAUUCCUUGUCGGGUAAGUUCCGACCUGCACGAAUGGCGUAAUGAUGGCCAGGCUGUCUCCACCCGAGACUCAGUGAAAUUGAACUCGCUGUGAAGAUGCAGUGUACCCGCGGCAAGACGGAAAGACCCCGUGAACCUUUACUAUAGCUUGACACUGAACAUUGAGCCUUGAUGUGUAGGAUAGGUGGGAGGCUUUGAAGUGUGGACGCCAGUCUGCAUGGAGCCGACCUUGAAAUACCACCCUUUAAUGUUUGAUGUUCUAACGUGGGCCCGUAAUCCGGGUUGCGGACAGUGUCUGGUGGGUAGUUUGACUGGGGCGGUCUCCUCCUAAAGAGUAACGGAGGAGCACGAAGGUUGGCUAAUCCUGGUCGGACAUCAGGAGGUUAGUGCAAUGGCAUAAGCCAGCUUGACUGCGAGCGUGACGGCGCGAGCAGGUGCGAAAGCAGGUCAUAGUGAUCCGGUGGUUCUGAAUGGAAGGGCCAUCGCUCAACGGAUAAAAGGUACUCCGGGGAUAACAGGCUGAUACCGCCCAAGAGUUCAUAUCGACGGCGGUGUUUGGCACCUCGAUGUCGGCUCAUCACAUCCUGGGGCUGAAGUAGGUCCCAAGGGUAUGGCUGUUCGCCAUUUAAAGUGGUACGCGAGCUGGGUUUAGAACGUCGUGAGACAGUUCGGUCCCUAUCUGCCGUGGGCGCUGGAGAACUGAGGGGGGCUGCUCCUAGUACGAGAGGACCGGAGUGGACGCAUCACUGGUGUUCGGGUUGUCAUGCCAAUGGCACUGCCCGGUAGCUAAAUGCGGAAGAGAUAAGUGCUGAAAGCAUCUAAGCACGAAACUUGCCCCGAGAUGAGUUCUCCCUGACCCUUUAAGGGUCCUGAAGGAACGUUGAAGACGACGACGUUGAUAGGCCGGGUGUGUAAGCGCAGCGAUGCGUUGAGCUAACCGGUACUAAUGAACCGUGAGGCUUAACCUU
This 2902-nucleotide ribosomal RNA is filed under the name Escherichia coli 300059. Its description in RNAcentral is "bacterial LSU rRNA". It matches the Rfam family "Bacterial large subunit ribosomal RNA". The record is from RNAcentral. Lineage: Bacteria; Pseudomonadati; Pseudomonadota; Gammaproteobacteria; Enterobacterales; Enterobacteriaceae.